CCUAUGAAAACUUAUGUCAGAAAGGGGGACUGCCUGAAGGUUUUUGCAUACUGAAGCAUGGACUUACACCAUUGCAUUUCAUUUAGAUGCUGGGAGGCGGUGUGUAGAGAGGUUAGUGAAUAAAUUAAGCAGUUUUGUUCAUUUUAUAGCUUGUUCCUUUAAGAGAUCACUUAUUCAGGACAGGCACAUCCAAACCUACAGCAGAUGCCUGCCACAUUGACAUGAAGAGGAAUUAAUGGGACAAGGAAUCAAAAAGAAAUGUUUGGAGCUGUCUUAAAAGCCCCAUCAGUGCAUGGGUCCCUCAUCACUGGAAGCCAUGGAGGACCUAAACUGUGUGACUGUGGGCACACUAAAGCGUAGAGUACGACAAAGGAAACGGAUUCAUGAGAUUAUCAGGACCAAAUUGCAGCGAAAACUCUCCUGCUCAGGAUCUAAAGUGAAGAGCACUCUAACAGGCUUCUUCCCCGUAGUGAAAUGGCUACCCAAGUACAAGGUGAAGGACUAUAUAUGGGGAGAUCUGAUGUCUGGGCUCAUAAUUGGCAUUAUAUUGAUCCCUCAAGCCAUUGCAUACUGCCUGUUGGCGGGCUUGGAUCCUAUCUAUGGCUUGUACACUUCAUUUUUUUCAAACAUCAUAUACUUCUUCAUGGGGACGUCAAGACAUGUUUCUGUGGGCAUCUUCAGCCUCAUGAGUCUGAUGGUUGGACAAGUUGUGGACCGAGAGGUCUACCUUGCAGGCUUUGAUCUGAAUGAAGACAGUACGAAAAGCGCAUUUGGGAUAAAUGGUACUGGGGACGCUAACAGUACUCUGGUCAACUUGAAGAUCAUGGCACUGGAUAUGGAAUGUGGAAAGGAGUGCUAUGCCAUUGGCAUUGCCACAGCAGUAACAUUUCUUGCUGGAGUCUACCAGGUGCUGAUGGCCGUUCUCAGGCUGGGGUUUGUCUCUGUUUAUCUGUCUGCUCCUAUGCUUGAUGGCUUUGCCACUGGGGCAUCUUGCACUAUCCUCACUGUCCAAGCCAAGUACCUGCUUGGCCUUAAGAUCCCUCGACACCAAGGCUACGGCACUGUGGUGGUCACUUGGAUCAAUAUGUUUAAGAACAUCCACAAAACCAACUUCUGUGAUUUAAUAACAAGUGCCAUUUGCAUCAUAGUGCUGGUUGCAGGAAAAGAGAUCCAGGAUCGCUAUAAGGACCGUUUGAAGAUACCACUGCCCACAGAACUGGUGGUAGUGGCAGUUGCCACAAUAGUCUCCCACUUUGCUGAUCUAAACGGACAGUUUAGCUCCAGUAUCUCAGGUGCCAUUCCAACUGGUUUCAUUCCUCCAAAGGUGCCCAGUAUUGAACUGAUGCCCCAUGUAGCAUUUGAUGCCAUUCCAUUAGCUGUCAUUAGUUUUGCUUUUACCGUUUCUCUGUCUGAGAUGUUUGCUAAAAAGAAUGGUUACACAGUUAGGCCCAAUCAAGAAAUGAUAGCAAUUGGGUUUUGCAAUAUAAUUCCUUCAUUUUUUCAUUCUUUCACUACAAGUGCAGCCCUUGCGAAAACUAUGGUGAAGGACUCAACAGGUUGCCAGACUCAGGUCUCCAGUAUAGUGAGUGCCUUAGUGGUUCUUCUGGUCCUUCUUUUCUUUGCACCAUUUUUCUACGCUCUCCAGAAAUGUGUCCUCGCCUGCAUCAUCAUCGUCAGUCUGCGGGGUGCCCUGCGCAAAUUUCGAGACGUCCCUACGCAAUGGCGUGAAAGCAAGAUUGAGGCAAUUGUCUGGUUGGUGACCAUGAGCUCAACUGCUUUAAUUAGCGUGGAGCUUGGAUUGCUGAUUGGUGUGGUCUUCUCUAUGAUCUGUGUGGUGGGCCAGACUCAGAAUCCUAAAGUUUCGUUACUGGGACAAAUUGAACAAACCAACGACUUUGAGGACAUGGAAGAGUACGAUAAUCUUUCACCUGUUCCAAAAGUGAAGAUCUUCCGUUUUCAGGCGCCUCUUUUCUAUGCCAACAAAGACUUCUUUUUAAAAUCUUUAUAUAAAGCAACUCAUCUUGAGCCAUUCCUUGAAAUAACCCGCAGAAGAAAACUGGAGAAAAAAGCUAGAGAAAAGGCAGCGAAGAAGACAGAUAGAGUAGAUGAAACAAAUGGAGAUGUAACUCUAAACUUGAUUUCAAAAAACAUUGAUUUUCAUACCAUCAUCUUGGAUUGCUCCUGCAUUUCCAUAAUAGACACAACAGGAGUGAGCACCUUCAAAAUGGUUUUAAAAGACUAUAAAGAAGUUGGUGUGAAUGUAAUUCUAGCUUGCUGCAACACACCAGUAAUAGAUUCUUUAAGAAGAGGCUCUUUUUUUGGGGCUGGUGACAAAGACAUGGAACAACUGUCAUUUCAUACUAUCCACAGUGCUGUUUGUUUUGCUACUAGUAUGACACAAACAGUUAAUGACUCGUCUGUGUAA
Cyprinus carpio (common carp) is the source of this 2425-nucleotide long non-coding RNA. The record is from Ensembl. Lineage: Eukaryota; Metazoa; Chordata; Actinopteri; Cypriniformes; Cyprinidae.